RNAcentral lists this long non-coding RNA (597 nucleotides) under Phoenix dactylifera (date palm). Its description in RNAcentral is "long non-coding RNA (PDAC_LNC014497)". The record is from RNAcentral. Lineage: Eukaryota; Viridiplantae; Streptophyta; Magnoliopsida; Arecales; Arecaceae.
AAUCAUGGAUUGCAGCUAAAGGUAUAAUUCUCUGGAUGAUUUUUUUUUUGCUACUAAAAGCCUCCAGCAUAGAUGCAAUACGACCACCGCCUCUGCUGACGGUCUUUCUGACUAAGAAGGUCCUCCUGAACUUUGGAUCUACCCUGCUGCUCGCAGAACCAAAGCUCCACUUGGAGUAUGAGGGCCUAUAUCGAGCCCCUAUGCCCGUGCCUCCUCGUCAUCUAGAGCGGACGCCUUCUCCGACUUCCUGGAGUGAUAGGAAGGUAGCUCUACCACUUGGUGGUCCACCUCCGCCUUCUUCUUGGAAAUCUUCUCUUUUGCUGCUCUGAAAUCAGCAAAGUGCUUCUGUAUGCAUUUCCGACACAUAGAUACGUCGGAAUAAUCAUCAGCUAAGCGCUGCUUCAACCUGGUUACCUCUCCUCCUUUGAACUCUAUAUUGCACUAGUUGCACUUCCAAUGAUGUCAAUCUGAGAACAUUUGCUCAUGAUCCCAACCAAUGUCACGAUCUAGCUCUUUUUUUCUUAAUGGCUCCAUUCCUGCAGAUUUAUCAACUACGUCAGUUUAUCAAUUUUUUAAAAAUAGAAAAAUUUCGUUACG